Molecule: ribosomal RNA, 462 nt
Filed under: uncultured bacterium
Lineage: Bacteria
Description: partial 16S ribosomal RNA
Rfam family: Bacterial small subunit ribosomal RNA
Source: RNAcentral
GACGAACGCUGGCGGCGUGCUUAACACAUGCAAGUCGAACGGAAAGGCCCUUCGGGGUACUCGAGUGGCGAACGGGUGAGUAACACGUGGGUGAUCUGCCCUGCACUUUGGGAUAAGCCUGGGAAACUGGGUCUAAUACCGAAUAGGACCACGCGCUUCAUGGUGUGUGGUGGAAAGCUUUUGCGGUGUGGGAUGGGCCCGCGGCCUAUCAGCUUGUUGGUGGGGUAAUGGCCUACCAAGGCGACGACGGGUAGCCGGCCUGAGAGGGUGACCGGCCACACUGGGACUGAGAGACGGCCCAGACUCCUACGGGAGGCAGCGGUGGGGAGUAUUGCACAAUGGGCGCAAGCCUGAUGCAGCGACGCCGCGUGAGGGAUGACGGCCUUCGGGUUGUAAACCUCUUUCAAUAGGGACGAAGCGCAAGUGACGGUACCUAUAGAAGAAGCACCGGCCAACUACGUG